Molecule: transfer RNA, 72 nt
Filed under: Bos taurus (domestic cattle)
Lineage: Eukaryota; Metazoa; Chordata; Mammalia; Artiodactyla; Bovidae
Rfam family: tRNA
About the family: Transfer RNA (tRNA) molecules are approximately 80 nucleotides in length. Their secondary structure includes four short double-helical elements and three loops (D, anti-codon, and T loops).
Source: Rfam by way of RNAcentral
UUCCUGGUGGCUCAGAUGGUAAAGCGUCUGCCUGCAAUGUGGAAAGUCUGGGUUCAAUGCCUGAUCAGGAAG